GACGAACGCUGGCGGCGUGCUUAACACAUGCAAGUCGUACGGUAAGGCCCUUUCGGGGGUACACGAGUGGCGAACGGGUGAGUAACACGUCAGUAACCUGCCCACAACUUUGGGAUAACGCUAGGAAACUGGUGCUAGUACUGGAUAUGUGCUACUGCUGCAUGGUGGGGGUUGGAAAGCUCCGGCGGUUGUGGAUGGACUCGCGGCCUAUCCGCUUGCUGGUGGGGUAGUGGCCUACCAAGGCGGCGACGGGUAGCCGGCCUGAGAGGGUGACCGGCCACAGUGAGACUGAGAUACGGCCCAGACUCCGACGGGAGGCAGCAGUGGGAAAUAUUGCACAAGGGGCGCAGGCCUGAUGCAGCAGCGCCGCGUGCGGGAUGACGGCGUUGGGGUUGGAAACCGCUUUCAGCAGGGACGAAGCUUUUUGUGACGGUACCUGCAGAAGAAGCACCGGCUAACUACGUG
This 465-nucleotide ribosomal RNA is filed under the name uncultured bacterium. Its description in RNAcentral is "partial 16S ribosomal RNA". It matches the Rfam family "Bacterial small subunit ribosomal RNA", at positions 28 to 507 of the family's 1533-position model. The record is from RNAcentral.